GCACGGGUGUCCGAGCGGCCGAAGGAACAGGGCUUAGGACCCUGUGGCUUAGUGCCUUCCCAGGUUCGAAUCCUGGCCCGUGCA
RNAcentral lists this transfer RNA (84 nucleotides) under archaeon. RNAcentral's name for it is "tRNA-Leu". It matches the Rfam family "tRNA". Rfam says of the family: Transfer RNA (tRNA) molecules are approximately 80 nucleotides in length. The record is from RNAcentral.